CCGGCGGCAUUUUGAGGCGGUCCUCCUAGCGGCCUGCAGUGAUAACGAUUUAGGUCCUGGGAAUUGAGUGCUACUUUAUCUUCACAAGCCUUAGUACAAAAUGUCAAAAAUUAGAAGGAAGGUCACAGUGGAAAAUACCAAGACUAUAUCUGAUAGCACAUCCCGAAGACCCAGUGUAUUUGAGAGGCUUGGACCCAGCACUGGCAGUACAGCAGAGACACAGUGCCGUAACUGGCUGAAGACUGGCAACUGCCUCUAUGGAAACACAUGUAGAUUCGUACAUGGCCCUUCACCUCGUGGUAAAGGUUAUAGCAGCAAUUAUAGAAGGUCACCAGAAAGACCUACAGGGGAUCUUAGAGAAAGAAUGAAGAACAAGCGCCAAGACGUGGACACUGAGCCCCAGAAACGAAAUACAGAGGAGUCAUCCUCACCUGUUAGGAAAGAAUCUUCAAGAGGGAGACAUAGGGAAAAGGAAGACAUAAAAAUCACUAAGGAAAGAACUCCAGAAAGUGAAGAAGAAAAUGUAGAAUGGGAAACUAAUAGAGAUGAUUCUGACAAUGGAGAUAUUAAUUAUGAUUAUGUUCAUGAAUUGUCAUUGGAAAUGAAGCGUCAGAAGAUACAGAGGGAAUUAAUGAAGCUGGAACAAGAAAACAUGGAG
RNAcentral lists this long non-coding RNA (658 nucleotides) under Homo sapiens (human). RNAcentral's name for it is "long non-coding RNA NONHSAT166719.1". The record is from RNAcentral. Lineage: Eukaryota; Metazoa; Chordata; Mammalia; Primates; Hominidae.